This 741-nucleotide ribosomal RNA is filed under the name uncultured bacterium. RNAcentral's name for it is "bacterial SSU rRNA". It matches the Rfam family "Bacterial small subunit ribosomal RNA", at positions 51 to 790 of the family's 1533-position model. The record is from RNAcentral.
ACACAUGCAAGUCGAACGGAGCACCCUUGAUUGAGGUUUCGGCCAAAUGAUAGGAAUGCUUAGUGGCGGACUGGUGAGUAACGCGUGAGGAACCUGCCUUUCAGAGGGGGACAACAGUUGGAAACGACUGCUAAUACCGCAUGACGCAUUUUGACCGCAUGGUCGAAAUGCCAAAGAUUUAUCGCUGAAAGAUGGCCUCGCGUCUGAUUAGCUAGUUGGUGAGGUAACGGCCCACCAAGGCGACGAUCAGUAGCCGGACUGAGAGGUUGACCGGCCACAUUGGGACUGAGAUACGGCCCAGACUCCUACGGGAGGCAGCAGUGGGGAAUAUUGGGCAAUGGGCGCAAGCCUGACCCAGCAACGCCGCGUGAAGGAAGAAGGCUUUCGGGUUGUAAACUUCUUUUAAGUGGGAAGAGUAGAAGACGGUACCACUUGAAUAAGCCACGGCUAACUACGUGCCAGCAGCCGCGGUAAUACGUAGGUGGCAAGCGUUGUCCGGAUUUACUGGGUGUAAAGGGCGUGCAGCCGGGCAUGCAAGUCAGAUGUGAAAUCUCAGGGCUUAACCCUGAAACUGCAUUUGAAACUGUAUGUCUUGAGUGCCGGAGAGGUAAUCGGAAUUCCUUGUGUAGCGGUGAAAUGCGUAGAUAUAAGGAAGAACACCAGUGGCGAAGGCGGAUUACUGGACGGUAACUGACGGUGAGGCGCGAAAGCGUGGGGAGCGAACAGGAUUAGAUACCCUGG